GACGAACGCUGGCGGCGUGCUUAGCACAUGCAAGUCGAACGGUAAGGCCCUUCGGGGUACACGAGUGGCGAACGGGUGAGUAACACGUGGGCGAUCUGCCCCGCACUUCGGGAUAAGCCUGGGAAACUGGGUCUAAUACAGGAUAGGACUCCGGACUGCAUGGUCUGGGGUGGAAAGCUUUUGCGGUGUGGGAUGGGCCCGCGGCCUAUCAGCGUGUUGGUGGGGUGAUGGCCUACCAAGGCGACGACGGGUAGCCGGCCUGAGAGGUUGACCGGCCACACUGGGACUGAGAUACGGCCCAGACUCCUACGGGAGGCAGCAGUGGGGAAUAUUGCACAAUGGGCGCAAGCCUGAUGCAGCGACGCCGCAUGAGGGAUGACGGCCUUCGGGUUGUAAACCUCUUUCAGCAUCGACGAAGCGAAAGUGACGGUAGGUGCAGAAGAAGGACCGGCCAACUACGUGCCAGCCGCCGCCGUAA
RNAcentral lists this ribosomal RNA (478 nucleotides) under uncultured bacterium. Its description in RNAcentral is "partial 16S ribosomal RNA". It matches the Rfam family "Bacterial small subunit ribosomal RNA", at positions 28 to 523 of the family's 1533-position model. The record is from RNAcentral.